This 97-nucleotide small RNA is filed under the name Marmota monax (woodchuck). Lineage: Eukaryota; Metazoa; Chordata; Mammalia; Rodentia; Sciuridae. The record is from RNAcentral.
GCCAGGCAUGGUGGCACAUGCCUGUAAUCCCAGUGGCUUGGGAGGCUGAUGUUAGGGUGGUUUGAUGUGGCUAAGGGAACAAAGCACCAGGCCUCCC